Molecule: long non-coding RNA, 314 nt
Organism: Amphimedon queenslandica
Lineage: Eukaryota; Metazoa; Porifera; Demospongiae; Haplosclerida; Niphatidae
Exons: 3
Source: RefSeq, a predicted model, not a curated record
UAUCUCCGCAGUAGAGUUUCUACUUACAUGUCUUAUCAGCAAGCGUAUUAUACAUCUCAGGGUGUUAGGUACACUUCAUGUGGUUUGUUUGGAUGGAAAAGAUGUACCAGAUAUUAUACACAUUACACCUACUACACACAGUCCUAUGUGUCAUAUAGAACAGUAUAUUAUUAUACCAGUGAUUGCUGCAGUGGAUAUGCAUUAGUCAGUGGACAAUGCAUACCUCAAUGUUCUCAGGGUUGCUUUUAUGGGAAUUGUAUCAGCCCUGAUGUGUGUAGCUGUGAUGCUGGUUGGACUGGAUAUUCAUGUCAAAC